UUGGCAUAUUAUUCUAUAUAUUUGCAAAAAAGCAUAAUAAUUUUUUUCCAAUAUUAUAUUUUGUAAAUUUCUUAAAUUUUCUACAAGGUAAUAAACUGAAAUAAAAACGAAAGUAGUAAAAUAACAAAAAAAUAAAUUCAGCUUUUAAAUAAAAAAUAAUAAAAAAAGAAAAACUUUCACAUGUUUGUAAUAUGUACUAAAUAAAUUGAGAUAAAAUAAUUGUGAUAAUUGGUCAGCUGAAUAUUCUGCGCCAGCUGUCAAUUGUUUACAAAACUGCACACAGACAACAAGAGCUACAAUUUUCCAAUUGGGCAUUGUGACCAGAGAGUAUUUGGGAAAAAACAGCUUAACAAAAAUCAUUGCAAUUUUGGUAAUAAAAAGA
This is a long non-coding RNA of Lucilia cuprina (Australian sheep blowfly), 382 nucleotides long. RefSeq lists it as uncharacterized. The record is from RefSeq and is a predicted model, not a curated record. The transcript is spliced from 2 exons. NCBI's taxonomy places the organism in Eukaryota, Metazoa, Arthropoda, Insecta, Diptera, Calliphoridae.